UGGGGAAUAUUGGACAAUGGGCGAAAGCCUGAUCCAGCAAUGCCGCGUGUGUGAAGAAGGUCUUCGGAUUGUAAAGCACUUUCGACGGGGACGGAUGAUGACGGUACCCGUAGAAGAAGCCCCGGCUAACUACGUGCCAG
This 140-nucleotide ribosomal RNA is filed under the name uncultured bacterium. Its description in RNAcentral is "partial 16S ribosomal RNA". It matches the Rfam family "Bacterial small subunit ribosomal RNA", at positions 355 to 511 of the family's 1533-position model. The record is from RNAcentral.